UAACGCGUGGGAAUCUGCCCUGGAGUGGGGGAUAACCCGGCGAAAGCCGGGGUAAUACCGAAAACGUCCCCGGGUGGAAGCAUCUGGGGAGAAAGAUUUAUCGCUCGAGGAGGGGCCCGCGUCGGAUUAGCUAGUUGGUGAGGUAACGGCUCACCAAGGCGAUGAUCCGUAGCUGGUCUGAGAGGAUGAUCAGCCCCACUGGGACUGAGACACGGCCCAGACUCCCACGGGAGGCAGCAGUGGGGAAUAUUGGACAAUGGGCGCAAGCCUGAUCCAGCAAUGCCGCGUGAGUGAUGAAGGCCUUAGGGUUGU
RNAcentral lists this ribosomal RNA (312 nucleotides) under uncultured Sphingomonadaceae bacterium. Its description in RNAcentral is "bacterial SSU rRNA". It matches the Rfam family "Bacterial small subunit ribosomal RNA", at positions 111 to 426 of the family's 1533-position model. Lineage: Bacteria; Pseudomonadati; Pseudomonadota; Alphaproteobacteria; Sphingomonadales; Sphingomonadaceae. The record is from RNAcentral.